RNAcentral lists this ribosomal RNA (294 nucleotides) under uncultured bacterium. RNAcentral's name for it is "partial 16S ribosomal RNA". It matches the Rfam family "Bacterial small subunit ribosomal RNA", at positions 44 to 334 of the family's 1533-position model. The record is from RNAcentral.
GUGCCUAACACAUGCAAGUCGAGCGAGAAAAGGGGGGCAACUCCCUGAGUACAGCGGCGCACGGGUGAGUAACACGCGGGUAAUCUGCCCUGAAGUGGGGAAUAACACCGGGAAACCGGUGCUAAUACCGCAUACGAUCACGGAGUCUGCGGAUUUUGUGAUGAAAGGAGCAAUUCGCUUUAGGAGGAGCCCGCGGCUGAUUAGCUAGUUGGUGAGGUAAUGGCUCACCAAGGCUACGAUCAGUAUCCGGUCUGAGAGGACGGUCGGACACACUGGAACUGAGACACGGUCCAG